AAAUAGAUACCCCGGUAGUCCACGCCGUAAACGAUGAGUGCUAAGUGUUAGAGGGUUUCCGCCCUUUAGUGCUGCAGCUAACGCAUUAAGCACUCCGCCUGGGGAGUACGGCCGCAAGGCUGAAACUCAAAGGGAAUUGACGGGGGCCCGCACAAGCGGUGGAGCAUGUGGUUUAAUUCGAAGCAACGCGAAGAACCUUACCAGGUCUUGACAUCCUCUGCCAACCCUAGAGAUAGGGCGUUCCCCUUCGGGGGACAGAGUGACAGGUGGUGCAUGGUUGUCGUCAGCUCGUGUCGUGAGAUGUUGGGUUAAGUCCCGCAACGAGCGCAACCCUUGAUCUUAGUUGCCAGCAUUCAGUUGGGCACUCUAAGGUGACUGCCGGUGACAAACCGGAGGAAGGUGGGGAUGACGUCAAAUCAUCAUGCCCCUUAUGACCUGGGCUACACACGUGCUACAAUGGAUGGUACAAAGAGCUGCGAACCCGCGAGGGUAAGCGAAUCUCAUAAAGCCAUUCUCAGUUCGGAUUGUAGG
RNAcentral lists this ribosomal RNA (531 nucleotides) under uncultured bacterium. RNAcentral describes it as "bacterial SSU rRNA". It matches the Rfam family "Bacterial small subunit ribosomal RNA", at positions 776 to 1304 of the family's 1533-position model. The record is from RNAcentral.